Molecule: ribosomal RNA, 562 nt
Filed under: uncultured bacterium
Lineage: Bacteria
Description: bacterial SSU rRNA
Rfam family: Bacterial small subunit ribosomal RNA
Source: RNAcentral
CCUACGGGAGGCAGCAGUUAGGAAUCUUGCGCAAUGGGCGAAAGCCUGACGCAGCGACGCCGCGUGCGGGAUGACGGCCUUCGGGUUGUAAACCGCUUUCAGCAGGGACGAUUAUGACGGUACCUGCAGAAGAAGCCCCGGCCAACUACGUGCCAGCAGCCGCGGUAAUACGUAGGGGGCAAGCGUUGUCCGGAUUUAUUGGGCGUAAAGAGCUCGUAGGCGGUUUGGUAAGUCGGGUGUGAAAUCUCCACGCUCAACGUGGAGGGGCCACUCGAUACUGCCACGACUCGAGUCCGGUAGAGGAGUGUGGAAUUCCCGGUGUAGCGGUGAAAUGCGCAGAUAUCGGGAGGAACACCCGUAGCGAAGGCGGCACUCUGGGCCGGAACUGACGCUGAGGAGCGAAAGCGUGGGGAGCAAACAGGAUUAGAUACCCUGGUAGUCCACGCCGUAAACGUUGGGCACUAGGUGUGGGGAUCUAUCGACGGUUUCCGUGCCGAAGCUAACGCAUUAAGUGCCCGCCUGGGGAGUACGGCCGCAAGGCAAAACUCAAAGGAAUUGACGG